UACGUAGGCGACAAGCGUUGUCCGGAUUUACUGGGCGUAAAGAGCGCGCAGGCGGUCGUUCAAGUCGAGUGUGAAAGCCCCCGGCUCAACUGGGGAGGGUCAUUCGAUACUGAUCGACUCGAAGGCAGGAGAGGGAAGUGGAAUUCCCGGUGUAGUGGUGAAAUGCGUAGAUAUCGGGAGGAACACCAGUGGCGAAGGCGACUUCCUGGCCUGUUCUUGACGCUGAGGCGCGAAAGCUAGGGGAGCAAACGGG
This 253-nucleotide ribosomal RNA is filed under the name uncultured bacterium. RNAcentral describes it as "partial 16S ribosomal RNA". It matches the Rfam family "Bacterial small subunit ribosomal RNA", at positions 524 to 776 of the family's 1533-position model. The record is from RNAcentral.